This 186-nucleotide ribosomal RNA is filed under the name Emiliania huxleyi. RNAcentral describes it as "partial Bacterial small subunit ribosomal RNA". It matches the Rfam family "Bacterial small subunit ribosomal RNA", at positions 1 to 185 of the family's 1533-position model. The record is from RNAcentral. Lineage: Eukaryota; Haptophyta; Isochrysidales; Noelaerhabdaceae.
UUGAAGAGUUUGAUCAUGGCUCAGAUUGAACGCUGGCGGCAGGCUUAACACAUGCAAGUCGAGCGGUAACAGGGGGUGCUUGCACCCCGCUGACGAGCGGCGGACGGGUGAGUAAUGCAUAGGAAACUGCCCAGUAGUGGGGGAUAGCCCGGGGAAACCCGGAUUAAUACCGCAUGAUCUCGCAAG